AACGAACGCUGGCGGCGCGCCUAAUACAUGCAAGUCGAGCGAGAAGACGUAGCAAUACGUUUGUAAAGCGGCGAACGGGUGAGGAAUACAUGGGCAACCUACCCUCGAGUGGGGAAUAACUAGCCGAAAGGUUAGCUAAUACCGCGUACGCUCCUUGGACUUCGGUUCAGGGAGGAAAGCGAUACCGUGGGUAUCGCGCUCUUGGAUGGGCUCAUGUCCUAUCAGCUUGUUGGUGAGGUAACGGCUCACCAAGGCUUCGACGGGUAGCUGGUCUGAGAGGACGAUCAGCCACACUGGCACUGCGACACGGGCCAGACUCCUACGGGAGGCAGCAGUAAGGAAUAUUGCGCAAUGGGCGAAAGCCUGACGCAGCGACGCCGCGUGGGGGAGUGAAGGUCUUCGGGUU
RNAcentral lists this ribosomal RNA (406 nucleotides) under uncultured bacterium. RNAcentral describes it as "bacterial SSU rRNA". It matches the Rfam family "Bacterial small subunit ribosomal RNA", at positions 29 to 424 of the family's 1533-position model. The record is from RNAcentral.